GGAGGGUGGCGCUCAGUGGUGGGCAACCGGAUUUGAAAUCCGGGCCAUCGGAAACGGUGAGGGUUCGACUCCUUCACCCUCCGCCA
Molecule: transfer RNA, 86 nt
Filed under: Salmonella enterica
Lineage: Bacteria; Pseudomonadati; Pseudomonadota; Gammaproteobacteria; Enterobacterales; Enterobacteriaceae
Description: tRNA-Ser
Rfam family: tRNA
About the family: Transfer RNA (tRNA) molecules are approximately 80 nucleotides in length. Their secondary structure includes four short double-helical elements and three loops (D, anti-codon, and T loops). Further hydrogen bonds mediate the characteristic L-shaped molecular structure. tRNAs have two regions of fundamental functional importance: the anti-codon, which is responsible for specific mRNA codon recognition, and the 3' end, to which the tRNAs corresponding amino acid is attached (by aminoacyl-tRNA synthetases). tRNAs cope with the degeneracy of the genetic code in two manners: having more than one tRNA (with a specific anti-codon) for a particular amino acid; and 'wobble' base-pairing, i.e. permitting non-standard base-pairing at the 3rd anti-codon position.
Source: RNAcentral